GACGAAGGUGGCAAGCGUUGUUCGGUAUCACUGGGCUUAAAGCGUGUGCAGGCGGAAGCGUAAGCGUUUUGUGAAAUCCCUCGGCUUAACCGAGGAAUUGCUUGACGAACUGCGUUUCUUUGAGGCAGGUAGGGGUGCGCAGAACUCUUGGUGGAGCGGUGGAAUGCGUAGAUAUCAAGAGGAAUGCCGGUGGAGAAGUCGGUGCACUGGGCCUGACCUGACGCUGAGACACGAAAGCGUGGGGAGCGAGCGGGAUUAGAUA
Molecule: ribosomal RNA, 262 nt
Filed under: uncultured prokaryote
Description: partial 16S ribosomal RNA
Rfam family: Bacterial small subunit ribosomal RNA
Source: RNAcentral